CGGGACGCCUUGCCGAAUUGCUGCCAUCCACGUGCUCAUCCGCCAUCCCGGCCGCCAUUCCCGCCGUGCUGGAGCCCUCCUCUGGUGAAAUCAGGCUGCCCGCCACCAUCUUGUGUGGGGCGCACUUUCCGGCAGACCCGCGCUUUGCGGCGGUCCUCGCCCGACCAGCGCCACGUCACACAGGCGGCGCCGGCCGUUCCCCGGUAACCUCCGACCCUUCUGCCUCCUGACUGGGCGCCGAUGGGCUCCUCCGACGCCGUGGAGCGGGCGCCAUGCCCGGGCUCAACCGCUGGGGCGGCCGUGCUCUUCGCACCGUCCUGCGCUAAGCUGGUGCUGGGGGGGAACUGCAGCCCCCAGUUGUUCAUGCAGCCAGGCUAGCCCUCGGUCCUUCACAGCUGCCCUCACUCCGGCCAGGAUCUCGUCCAGGGACGCCAUGGAC
Non-coding RNA from Pelobates cultripes (western spadefoot toad), 439 nucleotides. Lineage: Eukaryota; Metazoa; Chordata; Amphibia; Anura; Pelobatidae. The record is from the annotation of a GenBank genome assembly.